Molecule: ribosomal RNA, 466 nt
Filed under: uncultured bacterium
Lineage: Bacteria
Description: partial 16S ribosomal RNA
Rfam family: Bacterial small subunit ribosomal RNA
Source: RNAcentral
GACGAACGCUGGCGGCGUGCUUAACACAUGCAAGUCGAACGGUAAGGCUCCAGCUUGCUGGGGUACACGAGUGGCGAACGGGUGAGUAACACGUGGGUGACCUGCCCUGCACUUCGGGAUAAGCCUUGGAAACUGGGUCUAAUACCGGAUAGGACCAUGGUGUGGAUACUGUGGUGGAAAGUUUUUUCGGUGUGGGAUGGGCCCGCGGCCUAUCAGCUUGUUGGUGGGGUAAUGGCCUACCAAGGCGGCGACGGGUAGCCGGCCUGAGAGGGUGGACGGCCACAUUGGGACUGAGACACGGCCCAGACUCCUACGGGAGGCAGCAGUGGGGAAUAUUGCACAAUGGGCGGAAGCCUGAUGCAGCGACGCCGCGUGGGGGAUGACGGCCUUCGGGUUGUAAACUCCUUUCACCAUCGACGAAGGGUUUCUGACGGUAGAUGGAGAAGAAGCACCGGCUAACUACGUG